UGCUUUUUGAUCCUUCGAU
Molecule: small nuclear RNA, 19 nt
Filed under: Arabidopsis thaliana (thale cress)
Lineage: Eukaryota; Viridiplantae; Streptophyta; Magnoliopsida; Brassicales; Brassicaceae
Description: snRNA_02168
Source: RNAcentral